RNAcentral lists this small RNA (578 nucleotides) under Malus domestica (apple). Its description in RNAcentral is "sRNA MD03G0209800". The record is from RNAcentral. Lineage: Eukaryota; Viridiplantae; Streptophyta; Magnoliopsida; Rosales; Rosaceae.
UUUCCCCUUUCCCGUAUCUCCCUCUCGCUAUAUCUUUCCCUCAUCUACUCUUCCCCUUUCGCAUUAUCUUCAUCUUUCCCCGCAUAAUCCUUCAUCCCAAUUAGUUGCAGCAAAAGAAAAUUUCUUAAUUGUGGAUCCGCAAAUGCUUCAUCUUUCCCCUUUCCCCUUUCCCGUAUCUCCCUCUCGCUCUAUCUUUCCCUCUCGCCCUCUCGCUCUAUCUUCCCCGUCACUCUAUCUCCCCUUUCCAUAAUCCUCAUCUACUCUUCCCGUAGUCCUCAUCUCCUCUAUCUCUCAUUUUCGCCUUGAUCCCCAAAUCUUGAACCCAGUACCGCAGCCACACGAAUCUCGAAGCCGACGUGAAUCAAGUCUCAAAUUCAAGACGGUUCCUGCUUGUCAAAAUCUCCAAGGCUUGACGGUUCCUGCAGACGGUUCCGGCUUGACGUUCUUUGCUGCUCCGUAUAAAUUAGCUUGAGGGUCUUUGAGAAGUCUCUGCUAUGCACUUUAACCCUUGAUGAGUACCUAGAUUUGUACCUCAUCCGCGUAGAUGGCUUAAGAAGAAGAAUAUCAUGCGCUGUUGA